AAUCAACGCUGGCGGCGUGCCUCAGACAUGCAAGUCGAACGAUUAAAGCUCUCUUCGGAGAGUGCAUAAAGUGGCGCACGGGUGAGUAACACGUAAGUAAUCUACCUUCGAGUGGGGAAGUAACGUCCGGAAACGGACGCUAAUACCGCAUAACGCAGCGGCAUCGCAAGAUGACAGUUGUUAAAGAUUAUUCGCUUGAAGAGGAGCUUGCGGCAGAUAGCUUGUUGGUAAGGUAACGGCUUACCAAGGCUACGAUCUGUAUCCGGUCUAAGAGGACGGUCGGACACACUGACACU
This 296-nucleotide ribosomal RNA is filed under the name uncultured bacterium. Its description in RNAcentral is "partial 16S ribosomal RNA". It matches the Rfam family "Bacterial small subunit ribosomal RNA", at positions 32 to 320 of the family's 1533-position model. The record is from RNAcentral.